AGAAAAAGAUUGCCGAAUUUCUUCUUAGACGAAAGGAAGAGAACGGGGGAUCCACUCUGGGUGAAUUGAUCUUGCAACAAAGGGAUCAUAGGGGACCUUCUACCGAACCCUCCAGCUAACCUCGUAGGCACAGGAAGGAGCAACA
Molecule: regulatory RNA element, 145 nt
Organism: Paenibacillus sp. HGF7
Lineage: Bacteria; Bacillati; Bacillota; Bacilli; Caryophanales; Paenibacillaceae
Rfam family: c-di-AMP riboswitch aptamer (ydaO/yuaA leader)
About the family: This family represents a conserved RNA structure found upstream of the ydaO and yuaA genes in Bacillus subtilis and related genes in other bacteria. The ydaO/yuaA element is thought to act as a genetic "off" switch for the ydaO and yuaA genes in its native state.
Source: Rfam